CAUGUGAUCUGCUCUCUCCCUUUUGAUCUCCAUCCACUCAGAACAGUUAGAUCAGUUCCGAUUAAAGUUCAUUGUUGAUCUCUUUUUUCCUCUUCCAGUACAUGGCUGUCUAUUCGAUUAAAGCAUGGAAAGGAUGUGAUCUGUUGCUUCUUCCAAAUUCUUACUCAAUGGGUUGACCUUUAGAUCAACCUCUCUCUCUCUUGGCCUGGUGUUCCAUGGACUGAAGACGAACAUAGGAUGUUUUUACUUGGACUACAGAAGCUUGGCAAAGGUGAUUGGCGUGGAAUAGCUCGCAAUUAUGUUAUAUCAAGGACACCUACUCAAGUGGCCAGCCAUGCUCAAAAAUAUUUCAUCAGGCAAACCAAUGUAUCUCGGAGAAAGAGACGUUCCA
Quercus lobata is the source of this 391-nucleotide long non-coding RNA. RefSeq lists it as uncharacterized. NCBI's taxonomy places the organism in Eukaryota, Viridiplantae, Streptophyta, Magnoliopsida, Fagales, Fagaceae. The record is from RefSeq and is a predicted model, not a curated record. The transcript is spliced from 2 exons.